This 632-nucleotide long non-coding RNA is filed under the name Zostera marina. Its description in RNAcentral is "long non-coding RNA (ZMAR_LNC004084)". Lineage: Eukaryota; Viridiplantae; Streptophyta; Magnoliopsida; Alismatales; Zosteraceae. The record is from RNAcentral.
ACAUUUGAAAUUUUUUAAAAUUUCACAGUAGAAGCCAUGAACCACUUUAGAACAAACAUAAGAACUAUAAGAACUGACAAUGGGACUGAAUUCAAAUCCCAUAUUUUUCAAAGCUUCUUACAAAAACAUGGUAUAAAACAUCAACAUGUCCAUAUACACCGCAAUAAAAUAAAUAGCAGAAAGAAAACAUUGACAUCUGCUAGAUAUAGCUAGAAGUAUCUACUAGUAGAUUACUGACUUUUAGCGACGGCCAGAAACCGUCUCUAAUCAUCAAAAACCGUUGCUAAUUGAUGAUUGACGACAGUUUUUGGCCGUCUCUAAUCCUUCCCCGAAACUCGCCUCGCUGAUUUUUUGAAGACGGCCUUCAUAUCCGUCUCUAAUUAUUAAAGAAGGAUUAGAGAAGGUAUUAACAAUUUUAGAUUAGAUGGGAUUAGGGCCUAGCUGUCUCUAAUCCAUCGCUUUUUUUUUCCGCGCCAAUUUUUUGGCACCUAAAAUUUUAUUGCCGUCCCUCAGCUGUCUCUAAUUUUCAAAAUGGCCCUCCCUCAGCUGUCUCUAAUUUUUGUAACUUCCUGUUUCAACUUGCCGUCUCUAAGUCGUCGCUAGUCCCUCUCUAGUUUUUUUUUAGAACUUCC